This 61-nucleotide transfer RNA is filed under the name Micromonas pusilla. Its description in RNAcentral is "partial Selenocysteine transfer RNA". The record is from RNAcentral. Lineage: Eukaryota; Viridiplantae; Chlorophyta; Mamiellophyceae; Mamiellales; Mamiellaceae.
CGCCGCGGUGGCGUGGGCGGCGGCUUCAAAACUGGGGGCGGACGCGGUCGCCGCGGUGGUU